This 320-nucleotide ribosomal RNA is filed under the name uncultured bacterium. Its description in RNAcentral is "bacterial SSU rRNA". It matches the Rfam family "Bacterial small subunit ribosomal RNA", at positions 28 to 349 of the family's 1533-position model. The record is from RNAcentral.
GACGAACGCUGGCGGCGUGCUUAACACAUGCAAGUCGAGCGGUAAGGCCCUUUCGGGGGUACACGAGCGGCGAACGGGUGAGUAACACGUGGGUGACCUGCCCUCAGCUCUGGGAUAAGCCUGGGAAACCGGGUCUAAUACUGGAUAUGACUCCAUGACGCAUGUUGUGGGGUGGAAAGCCUUGUGCGGCUGAGGAUGGGCCCGCGGCCUAUCAGCUUGUUGGUGGGGUGANGGCCUACCAAGGCGACGACGGGUAGCCGGCCUGAGAGGGCGGCCGGCCACACUGGGACUGAGACACGGCCCAGACUCCUACGGGAGGC